UUCCUGAGCCCGGGAGACCAGCAGCUGUGCAGCGCAGCACCCGUGCUUGGAAACUUCUGAGGGCCAGGUGCUGCUCACAUCCAGAGCUCUCUGUCAGAGAGUAGAUAGCAGCACGAUCAAGCCAAGGACAAGGGAGGACUUCCCAGAGGGAAAGGCUAAAGAGCCACAGAGCUUGCCAGCCAUGGGAGGCUGCCUUGGGCAGAGCCAAGGUCCCCAGAUGGGUUGACAAAGUGACUCACUUGCUGACAGACAAAAAAAAAAAAAAAGAUUUUUAGUUCCUGCCCA
Long non-coding RNA from Sciurus carolinensis (gray squirrel), 285 nucleotides. RefSeq lists it as uncharacterized. NCBI's taxonomy places the organism in Eukaryota, Metazoa, Chordata, Mammalia, Rodentia, Sciuridae. The transcript is spliced from 2 exons. The record is from RefSeq and is a predicted model, not a curated record.